ACGUGUAGCUGUUUGACGGUACUAUACGAAUAAGGAUCGGCUAACUCCGUGCCAGCAGCCGCGGUAAUACGGAGGGUCCAAGCGUUAUCCGGAUUUAUUGGGUUUAAAGGGUCCGUAGGCGGGUUAUUAAGUCAGUGGUGAAAUCCUACAGCUCAACUGUAGAACUGCCAUUGAAACUGGUAACCUUGAGUAUAAUUGAAGUGGGCGGAAUGUGUCAUGUAGCGGUGAAAUGCUUAGAUAUGACACAGAACACCGAUUGCGAAGGCAGCUCACUAAGUUAUAACUGACGCUGAGGGACGAAAGCGUGGGUAGCGAACAGGAUUAGAUACCCUGGUAGUCCACGCCGUAAACGAUGAACACUCGUUGCUGGCGAUACACAGUCAGUGACCAAGCGAAAGUGUUAAGUGUACCACCUGGGGAGUACGCUCGCAAGAGUGAAACU
RNAcentral lists this ribosomal RNA (442 nucleotides) under uncultured Flavobacteriia bacterium. Its description in RNAcentral is "bacterial SSU rRNA". It matches the Rfam family "Bacterial small subunit ribosomal RNA", at positions 457 to 901 of the family's 1533-position model. The record is from RNAcentral. Lineage: Bacteria; Pseudomonadati; Bacteroidota; Flavobacteriia.